GGUGGCUCAGUGGUAGAGCGCUUGGCUUGCAUGCAUGAGACCCUGGGUUCGAUUCCUCAGCACCA
Molecule: transfer RNA, 65 nt
Filed under: Dipodomys ordii (Ord's kangaroo rat)
Lineage: Eukaryota; Metazoa; Chordata; Mammalia; Rodentia; Heteromyidae
Rfam family: tRNA
About the family: Transfer RNA (tRNA) molecules are approximately 80 nucleotides in length. Their secondary structure includes four short double-helical elements and three loops (D, anti-codon, and T loops). Further hydrogen bonds mediate the characteristic L-shaped molecular structure. tRNAs have two regions of fundamental functional importance: the anti-codon, which is responsible for specific mRNA codon recognition, and the 3' end, to which the tRNAs corresponding amino acid is attached (by aminoacyl-tRNA synthetases). tRNAs cope with the degeneracy of the genetic code in two manners: having more than one tRNA (with a specific anti-codon) for a particular amino acid; and 'wobble' base-pairing, i.e. permitting non-standard base-pairing at the 3rd anti-codon position.
Source: Rfam by way of RNAcentral